This 497-nucleotide ribosomal RNA is filed under the name uncultured bacterium. RNAcentral's name for it is "partial 16S ribosomal RNA". It matches the Rfam family "Bacterial small subunit ribosomal RNA", at positions 28 to 507 of the family's 1533-position model. The record is from RNAcentral.
GAUGAACGCUGGCGGCGUGCCUAAUACAUGCAAGUCGAGCGAACGGACGAGGAGCUUGCUUCGCUGAUGUUAGCGGCGGACGGGUGAGUAACACGUGGAUAACCUACCUAUAAGACUGGGAUAACUUCGGGAAACCGGAGCUAAUACCGGAUAAUAUUUUGAACCGCAUGGUUCAAAAGUGAAAGACGGUCUUGCUGUCACUUAUAGAUGGAUCCGCGCUGUAUUAGCUAGUUGUUAAGGUAACGGCUUACCAAGGCAACUAUGCAUAGCCGACCUGACAGGCUGGUAGCCCACCCUGGAGGUUAACCAGCGUCAAUAGUCCUGCGGGAGGGAGCAGUAUCGUAUCUGCGGCAGUGGGCGAAAGCCUGGCGCAGCGACGCGGCGUGAGUGAUGAAGGCGUUCGGAUCGUAAAGAUGGCUUACUAGGUGAGAACCUAUUUGUAAGGAACUGUGCACAUCUUGACGGUACCUGAUCAGAAAGCCACGGCUAACUACGUG